Molecule: ribosomal RNA, 497 nt
Filed under: uncultured bacterium
Lineage: Bacteria
Description: partial 16S ribosomal RNA
Rfam family: Bacterial small subunit ribosomal RNA
Source: RNAcentral
GAUGAACGCUGGCGGCGUGCCUAAUACAUGCAAGUCGAGCGAACAGACGAGGAGCUUGCUCCUCUGACGUUAGCGGCGGACGGGUGAGUAACACGUGGAUAACCUACCUAUAAGACUGGGAUAACUUCGGGAAACCGGAGCUAAUACCGGAUAAUAUAUUGAACCGUAUGGUUCAAUAAUGAAAGACGGUUUUGCUGUCACUUAUAGAUGGAUCCGCUCUGCAUUAGCUAGUUGGUAAGGUAACGGCUUACCAAGGCGACGAUGCGUAGCCGAUCUGUGGGGGGGAUCGGCCACGCUGGAACUGAGACACGGUCCAGGCUCCUACGGGAGGCAGCAGUAGGGAAGCUUCCGCGAUGGGCGAAAGCCUGACGGAGCAACGCCGCGUGAGUGAUGAAGGUCUUCGGAUCGUAAAACUCUGUUAUUAGGGAAGAACAAAUGUGUAAGUAACUAUGCACGUCUUGACGGUACCUAAUCAGAAAGCCACGGCUAACUACGUG